UUUAUUGGAGAGUUUGAUCCUGGCUCAGGACGAACGCUGGCGGCGUGCCUAAUACAUGCAAGUCGA
This 66-nucleotide ribosomal RNA is filed under the name Bacillus mesophilus. Its description in RNAcentral is "partial 16S ribosomal RNA". It matches the Rfam family "Bacterial small subunit ribosomal RNA", at positions 1 to 65 of the family's 1533-position model. The record is from RNAcentral. Lineage: Bacteria; Bacillati; Bacillota; Bacilli; Caryophanales; Bacillaceae.